GACUCCAUAGCUCAGUUGGUUAGAGCGUAGCACUGUUAUUCAGGUAUCCUUCUCCGAUUUCGGUUGGAGAUGCUGAGGUCGGCGGUUCGAGCCCGCCUGGGGUCG
Molecule: transfer RNA, 105 nt
Filed under: Testicularia cyperi
Lineage: Eukaryota; Fungi; Basidiomycota; Ustilaginomycetes; Ustilaginales; Anthracoideaceae
Rfam family: tRNA
About the family: Transfer RNA (tRNA) molecules are approximately 80 nucleotides in length. Their secondary structure includes four short double-helical elements and three loops (D, anti-codon, and T loops).
Source: Rfam by way of RNAcentral